ACGGGUGAGUAACACGUGGGAACGUACCCUUCGGUUCGGAAUAACUCAGGGAAACUUGAGCUAAUACCGGAUACGCCCUUUUGGGGAAAGGUUUACUGCCGAAGGAUCGGCCCGCGUCUGAUUAGCUUGUUGGUGGGGUAACGGCCUACCAAGGCGACGAUCAGUAGCUGGUCUGAGAGGAUGAUCAGCCACACUGGGACUGAGACACGGCCCAGACUCCUACGGGAGGCAGCAGUGGGGAAUAUUGGACAAUGGGCGCAAGCCUGAUCCGGCCAUGCCGCGUGAGUGAUGAAGGCCUUAGGGUUGUAAAGCUCUUUUGUCCGGGACGAUAAUGACGGUACCGGAAGAAUAAGCCCCGGCUAACUUCGUGCCAGCAGCCGCGGUAAUACGAAGGGGGCUAGCGUUGCUCGGAAUCACUGGGCGUAAAGGGCGCGUAGGCGGCCGAUUAAGUCGGGGGUGAAAGCCUGUGGCUCAACCACAGAAUUGCCUUCGAUACUGGUUGGCUUGAGACCGGAAGAGGACAGCGGAACUGCGAGUGUAGAGGUGAAAUUCGUAGA
Molecule: ribosomal RNA, 557 nt
Filed under: uncultured bacterium
Lineage: Bacteria
Description: bacterial SSU rRNA
Rfam family: Bacterial small subunit ribosomal RNA
Source: RNAcentral